GUGCUUUAAAUGUGUGUAUUCAUUAUUUUAGCAUUUUGGUGCAUUUUCUUAAAAAAUUAAAAAUUCUGCCUAAAUACCACAGUAUAGCUCCACCUUCAGCUUAAAACAUAGAAUUUGACUCAUUUUGAAUAAAUUUUAGCCAAUGGCUAAAGAGUAAGAUACUACGUAAUCCAGUAGAGUACUACGUAGCAGCUCUGUGUCAACGUUAUAAAAGCAUCGGGAGUCUCGGCCACGCCUUGUGGCGAGUUGGGAGUUGGAUUUGCAUGAGAGUGUAGGAGGCUAGCCGUAGUUCAGCAUUAGCAUAUAGCAUUAGCAUAUCCUAGUCUUUAGCAUAGCUUUUAGUGUUAUACAUACUUAUUUAGUGUUAGCUUGGCUGUUGGAUAUUGUAGUUUAGUUACUGUUUGGCUGUUAGUGUAAUUAGGAAAGUAGUUCGGGUUUAGUGCUCCAUAUCGUGUUAGCAUGGUGAGAUGGUGUAGUGUAGUAUGGUUGCGGAGCUCUGUCGGGUUGCACUCCUUUCCGCUGGACUUAGAAAUUAGGCGCCAGUGGUUGCGUGUCUGGAAAAGAUUCAGCUCCCGCCUGGUGCUGUAGUUUGCAACCAGCAUUUUACCCGCGAUUCUGCACGUCUCCGUUCCAAGAGGGAGGCUGUGCCCACCGUGGCUCUUCCGCGAUUUAGAUGCAGCCCACCAACUCUGCUCCCCCACCAUGACGGGCUACAGUCUGAGGCUAAAUCUACCCAAGACACUGGCUGUCAGACUGAUUUAGUAAUCUGCAAGAAUGCACUUGUCCAGGCUGACGUGGUGUUACCCGUAGCAAAGAGCUCACAGCCUCAGUGUCUUGUGACACAGGGACCAUGACAGAAAUUCAUCUUCCAGAAGGUCCCAGAGCAUCCACACCUCCUGAAAAGACCACGGUGUGAGGUGUCUGCUGUUGAUUCCAGCUUCCACCUCAGUGACAGUGCAAGCUCAGUGAACUGUUCAAGGAGGCUACUGAUUCUGGCCCUGUGACACUUGGUGGUCACCACCAGGUGGUGACGUGUGAGCUGAUUCACCUGGACACUCUGCAAAAUAUGGACUCUACACCAUGAGGCAGGCACACGUUAAUAACUCUAUAAGAGCACAUAAGGUAAGCAACACCACAUAUUAUUUUUAUUACUGUACACUGUCCUGGAUUUGUUUUCUUUCUGCAUGAUUUGUUUUCUUUCUGCAUCUCAUCAUUAGCCUGGCUGAUCACCUGAUAACUCCUGUCAUCUGGUUAUGACAGCAUGAGGAUGUCCUCACACACCUGUAACCUAUCAGCUCAUCUGGCAGAAUAGAGAGAGAAGAGACAACACCACAUCUCCUGUUCCUGGAAAGCCUUCAGCCAUCCUUCGAUGACUGAGAACCUCCAUCAGCUCUGUCUCCUGUCUGCCUACAAUUAUUAUAAUAAAUAUUGUGUUUGACAAGUU
Nothobranchius furzeri (turquoise killifish) is the source of this 1444-nucleotide non-coding RNA. The record is from RefSeq and is a predicted model, not a curated record. Lineage: Eukaryota; Metazoa; Chordata; Actinopteri; Cyprinodontiformes; Nothobranchiidae.